GACGAACGCUGGCGGCGUGCUUAACACAUGCAAGUCGAACGGGCCCGCACCUUUUUUUUGGGGGCGGGUUGAGUGGCGAACGGGUGAGUAUCACGUGAGUAACCUGCCCUCCUCUCCUGGAUAACCGCUUGAAAGGGCGGCUAAUACGGGGUGGUCCGGUUGGUCCGCAUGGGCCGGCUGGGAUAGUUUCAUCUUCGGGUGUUUCGGUGGGGGAUGGGCUCGCGGCCUAUCAGCUUGUUGGUGGGGUGAUGGCCUACCAAGGCGGUGACGGGUAGCCGGCCUGAGAGGGUGGGCGGCCACACUGGGACUGAGACACGGCCCAGACUCCUCGGGAGGCAGCAGUGGGGGGUAUUGCACAAUGGGCGGAAGCCUGAUGCAGCGACGUCGCGUGAGGGAUGGAGGCCUUCGGGUUGUGAACCUCUGUUUCCGGUGGUGAAGGCCCUGCCCUU
Molecule: ribosomal RNA, 449 nt
Filed under: Actinomyces sp. oral taxon 525
Lineage: Bacteria; Bacillati; Actinomycetota; Actinomycetes; Actinomycetales; Actinomycetaceae
Description: bacterial SSU rRNA
Rfam family: Bacterial small subunit ribosomal RNA
Source: RNAcentral